This 276-nucleotide ribosomal RNA is filed under the name uncultured prokaryote. RNAcentral describes it as "partial 16S ribosomal RNA". It matches the Rfam family "Bacterial small subunit ribosomal RNA", at positions 524 to 800 of the family's 1533-position model. The record is from RNAcentral.
UACGUAUGGGGCAAGCGUUAUCCGGAAUUAUUGGGCGUAAAGAGUGCGUAGGUGGUUUCUUAAGUCAGAGGUGAAAGGCUACGGCUCAACCGUAGUAAGCCUUUGAAACUGGGAAACUUGAGUACAGAAGAGGAGAGUGGAAUUCCACGUGUAGCGGUGAAAUGCGUAGAGAUGUGGAGGAACACCAGUGGCGAAGGCGACUCUCUGGUCUGUAACUGACGCUGAGGCGCGAAAGCGUGGGUAGCGAACAGGAUUAGAUACCCCGGUAGUCCCUGA